RNAcentral lists this ribosomal RNA (911 nucleotides) under uncultured Caryophanales bacterium. RNAcentral describes it as "bacterial SSU rRNA". It matches the Rfam family "Bacterial small subunit ribosomal RNA", at positions 28 to 905 of the family's 1533-position model. The record is from RNAcentral. Lineage: Bacteria; Bacillati; Bacillota; Bacilli; Caryophanales.
GACGAACGCUGGCGGCGUGCCUAAUACAUGCAAGUCGAGCGAAGUAACCUCGCAGAAGCCUUCGGGUGGACGCUUGGUUUACUUAGCGGCGGAUGGGUGAGUAACACGUAGGCAACCUACCUGUAAGCCUGGGAUAACUAGUGGAAACACUAGCUAAUACCGGAUACAUCGCAUAAGACGCAUGUCUUUUGCGAGAAAGACGGAGCAAUCUGUCACUAACAGAUGGGCCUGCGGCGCAUUAGCUAGUUGGUAAGGUAACGGCUUACCAAGGCAACGAUGCGUAGCCGACCUGAGAGGGUGAUCGGCCACACUGGGACUGAGACACGGCCCAGACUCCUACGGGAGGCAGCAGUAGGGAAUCUUCCGCAAUGGACGAAAGUCUGACGGAGCAACGCCGCGUGAGUGAUGAAGGUUUUCGGAUCGUAAAGCUCUGUUGCCAGGGAAGAAUAGGUAUAGGAGUAACUGCCUGUACUGUGACGGUACCUGAGAAGAAAGCCCCGGCUAACUACGUGCCAGCAGCCGCGGUAAUACGUAGGGGGCAAGCGUUGUCCGGAAUUAUUGGGCGUAAAGGGCACGCAGGCGGUGGUUUAAGUUUGGUGUUUAAUCCCAGGGCUCAACCCUGGUACGCACUGAAAACUGGAUCACUUGAGUGCAGAAGAGGAGAGUGGAAUUCCUAGUGUAGCGGUGAAAUGCGCAGAUAUCAGGAGGAACACCGGUGGCGAAGGCGGGUCUCUGGGCCGUUACUGACGCUGAGGAGCGAAAGCAUGGGGAGCGAACAGGAUUAGAUACCCUGGUAGUCCAUGCCGUAAACGUUGGGCACUAGGUGUGGGAUCCAUUCCACGGGUUCCGUGCCGCAGCUAACGCAUUAAGUGCCCCGCCUGGGGAGUACGGCCGCAAGGCUAAAACUCAAA